Molecule: ribosomal RNA, 693 nt
Filed under: uncultured Cortinarius
Lineage: Eukaryota; Fungi; Basidiomycota; Agaricomycetes; Agaricales; Cortinariaceae
Description: eukaryotic LSU rRNA
Rfam family: Eukaryotic large subunit ribosomal RNA
Source: RNAcentral
GACCGGUGAAAAGCCAUGUUUAGCUUCUACCAGUCCAUUGACUUUGGACAAAUAUCUCAUUAAUGUGACCUCAAAUCAGGUAGGACUACCCGCUGAACUUAAGCAUAUCAAUAAGCGGAGGAAAAGAAACUAACAAGGAUUCCCCUAGUAACUGCGAGUGAAGCGGGAAAAGCUCAAAUUUAAAAUCUGGCAGUCUCCGGCUGUCCGAGUUGUAAUCUAGAGAAGUGCUAUCCGCGCUGGACCGUGUACAAGUCUCCUGGAAUGGAGCGUCAUAGAGGGUGAGAAUCCCGUCUUUGACACGGACUCCCAGGGCUUUGUGAUGCGCUCUCAAAGAGUCGAGUUGUUUGGGAAUGCAGCUCAAAAUGGGUGGUAAAUUCCAUCUAAAGCUAAAUAUUGGCGAGAGACCGAUAGCGAACAAGUACCGUGAGGGAAAGAUGAAAAGAACUUUGGAAAGAGAGUUAAACAGUACGUGAAAUUGCUAAAAGGGAAACGCUUGAAGUCAGUCGCGUUGUCCAGGGAUCAACCUUGCUUUUGCUUGGUGCACUUUCUGGUUAACGGGUCAGCAUCAAUUUUGAUCAUUGGAAAAAGAUUAGGGGAAUGUGACAUCUUUGGAUGUGUUAUAGCCCUUGGUUGCAUGCAAUGGUUGGGAUUGAGGAACUCAGCACGCCGCAAGGCCGGGUUUUAACCACGUAC